This is a long non-coding RNA of Arachis stenosperma, 2131 nucleotides long. RefSeq lists it as uncharacterized. The transcript is spliced from 5 exons. The record is from RefSeq and is a predicted model, not a curated record. Lineage: Eukaryota; Viridiplantae; Streptophyta; Magnoliopsida; Fabales; Fabaceae.
CGCUCACCGUCGCUGCUCCCAAUUGUCGCAAGCCUCCGUGGCUCGUCAUCGUAGCUCACAUCGUCGUCUCGUCGCUCACCAUCGUGCACUCACUAGAUAAUCAUUCUCUGAUUCACUCUCUAUCUUCUCUUUCUUGCUCAUUACCUCACUUCUUCUCUCGUUUCAGUGUCGAAGAAGGUGCGUGUGGCUAUGAUGAUGAUGAUGAACAACAAUGGCCAAACGAGACAGAGAUGGUAGCUGAAGUGAGACAGAGAGGUAGCGUUUGGUUACUGAGACACAGACACUGAGACAUAGACACAGUGGUACACGGUGACACAUGUCUGCUGUUUGGUUUGGUGAGACACAGAUUUUCGAAGGACACGGGAGGACACGGAUGGACACGGAGACACUAAAUUUGUGUACCUCCAAUUUGGUGAGACACUGAGACACAACUUGUGAGACACUAAUUUUUUACUCUUUUACCCUUAUUGAGUUUUUAAAAUUUGUCUUCUUAUCUUCCCAAAUCUUUUUUUUUCUCUUUCUCUUUUAGAUUCUACAACUAAAUUUACUUUUCUAUUUUUUUCAAAAAAAAAAUUUGUACAUUUAAUUUUUUUUAUUUAUUUAAAUUUUGAUUAAUCUUUGAUAAAUUCUAAACUUUAAUUUUUUAUUUUUUUUCAAGAACAAUUAUAUAUUUAAUAUUUAAAUGAUAAUUUAAGAUGGUAUUAGAAGAAAUAAAAAAUUAUUAGAAGAAAUAAAAAUUUAAUGGUGAUGGCAUGCAUUGUUUGGGAUAAUAGGUGUAUUGUAAUAGUGGUAAAACUUGUGGUUGAUUGAAAGGUAAUUUAGUCUUUUUUAAAUAUAUGUGUCUUAUUUUUUAUUUUUGCCAAACACAAUACAUAGACACAAAUAUUUUAUGUCCAUGUCUUUAAUGUCUGUGUCUCUGUGUCUAUGUCUCAUCAAAUACAUCAACCAAACGGAGUCAGAGUUUCUAACAUGGCAGGGGUUACGAAAGAGGAAGUUCGAAUUGUGGCAUCUUCCUAUCGAAUUUGUCCUUUAGGGGCUCAUAUUGAUCACCAGGUACUUAAGUAUAUGUCUUUCUAUUAUGACAGUACAAUUUUAACUCAAUGAUUGAUCUUGAACACAAGUUUUAUUAGAAACGUGAAUAAGCAAUGCAUACCAGAGCUGUUUACUUAUUCAAUUUCCUGGCAGCUUUCUCAUGAGAUUUUGAAGAGUAUUUUGUUGAAGUUUUCACCCCAUCACUUGUAAAAUUAUCCUGUCAGCUGCAUUCACUCGGAUGUGUGCCACUUCUGUGGAAACAAUUAGUCUUACAACUUGGGCCUAGUGUCAAUUGUGAUACUAAUUAGCUCGUUGGCAUUUCAACUGUCAGUUAUGAUCUUGUGUUAUUCUCAUUUUCAUUGUUGUAUCUUUUCUCACCUUCUCUUCCACUUUAUAUUAAAAACCUUGUUUGGCUAGGGAUUUCUAUGUAUAUCCUUGCUGCCUACUCCAAUUAUGCAUUUUUUUUAUUAAUAAUAUGCUGAGUUACUUAUCCAAAAGUGGGGAAAAAAUAAUUUUCUGCAGACUGAACAGAAGCAAUGAGGCUUGGUAUCAAUGGACCUUGGAUCACCAAAUCAUAUCUUGAAAUGAUCCUUGAUAAAAAAAGGUGUUCCUCAUCAUAAGAAGGCGCGUGGUUGUUUUUGAUAAAUUCCUACAAAACAUGUGCAUGCUUACACAAGGAUUAACAGCUUCAAUUUUUCUAAAAAAAAUUUUACUAAUAUAAGAUUAUCUCCUUGCUUCUGAAUUGGUUACGUGUGAAACUCUAUCUCAUGUAUCAAUAAAUGCGUUCCUCAACGUUGAUUGGUCACUGAUUGAGAAGACUAGAAGAAAUACAUUUGUCCCCUGGAAGUCAAGGCACUGCAAUCAUUGCACCAAAACCAAUUCGCGCGACUCUUGACCUUGUUAAGAGAUUGGAGGAUUUGUCUCAGCCAUGGACUCGGGGCCUCAACUGAUCAAAUGGCUAUUUUGCUCGCAAAACCUUUGUUAAAUUGUCUUUGUAAAGUUCUAGUCCAAACACAGUGGGGGAGGAGAGUUAGCUAGAAGAGCUUGUUUGUAACUCGCAUUCUAUAUUAUACAUUUAUUUUUAUUAUAUAAUAUUUGA